RNAcentral lists this ribosomal RNA (283 nucleotides) under uncultured prokaryote. Its description in RNAcentral is "partial 16S ribosomal RNA". It matches the Rfam family "Bacterial small subunit ribosomal RNA", at positions 524 to 803 of the family's 1533-position model. The record is from RNAcentral.
CACGGGGGUUGCGAGCGUUGUCCGGAAUUACUAGGCGUAAAGGGCAGGCAGGCGGAUCCAUAAGUUUAUCGUUUAAGGCGUCGGCUUAACCGGCGUAGGGCGGUAGAUACUGUGGAUCUGGAAUGCGGUUGGGGAAGACAGAAUUCCUGGUGUAGCGGUGGAAUGCGCAGAGAUCAGGAGGAAUACCGAAGGCGAAGGCAGUCUUCCAAGCCGUUAUUGACGCUCAACUGCGAAGGUGUGGGUAUCAAAACAGGAUUAGAUACCCCGGUAGUCCCUGAGCGGG